RNAcentral lists this ribosomal RNA (409 nucleotides) under Algoriphagus sp. RNAcentral describes it as "bacterial SSU rRNA". It matches the Rfam family "Bacterial small subunit ribosomal RNA", at positions 505 to 916 of the family's 1533-position model. The record is from RNAcentral. Lineage: Bacteria; Pseudomonadati; Bacteroidota; Cytophagia; Cytophagales; Cyclobacteriaceae.
GUGCCAGCAGCCGCGGUAAUACGGAGGGUGCAAGCGUUGUCCGGAUUUAUUGGGUUUAAAGGGUGCGUAGGCGGCUGUUUAAGUCAGUGGUGAAAGACUCCGGCUCAACCGGAGCAGUGCCAUUGAUACUGGAUAGCUUGAGUAUUGGAGGGGUACAUGGAAUUGAUGGUGUAGCGGUGAAAUGCAUAGAUACCAUCAGGAACACCGAUAGCGAAGGCAUUGUACUGGCCAAUAACUGACGCUGAUGCACGAAAGCAUGGGUAGCGAACAGGAUUAGAUACCCUGGUAGUCCAUGCCGUAACGAUGAUUACUCGCUGUUAUGCCCUUGUGGUGUAGCGGCCAAGCGAAAGCGUUAAGUAAUCCACCUGGGGAGUACGCUCGCAAGAGUGAAACUCAAAGGAAUUGACGG